UCAAUUAAUAAAAUUUUUGAUUCCUUUCAAAUUUCAAUAAAACAUUCCUUUGAUCAAAAUUCCCAAACACAGUCGCUUCCCUACUAGUCUCGUCUGUGAUACCACUUACCAUUCAAAAUAAACUGAUCUUUUUUAAUACAAUUUUAAUUUUUAGAUGGUCUCGAGCUGUAUCUACCUGAAUUGCCAGUCAUGACGAUUGACGACACUAUUCCAAAACCGAUACCGAAGAUCUUGUGAACACGCCUUAUUUGGAGAAAGCUCGUCUUAUUAGGUUGCUUAUUUAUCAACCCAAAGCACAGAGGUAUGCUUGCACUUUUACUGAAUGGUAAUCUUAUUUUGGCAGAUAUGUACUUAUACGAUCUCGAGUCAGCAAAGCCAGCCGAAAAUCCGGAAUACAUUAUACAGAGGUUCUCCAAAUGGACGUGGUUUGCUUCACAGCUCCUGUGGCUGCAACUUCAUAGAGACGAGGCGACUUCUAAAACAAUACAAAUAUGUUGUUAUAUGCUACAUUAUAAAUUGUGAUGCAAGAUUUAGUAGUGAAUAAAUUUACUCACCUUCAAAA
Long non-coding RNA from Photinus pyralis (common eastern firefly), 562 nucleotides. RefSeq lists it as uncharacterized. Lineage: Eukaryota; Metazoa; Arthropoda; Insecta; Coleoptera; Lampyridae. The transcript is spliced from 2 exons. The record is from RefSeq and is a predicted model, not a curated record.